Non-coding RNA from Fomitopsis serialis, 111 nucleotides. Lineage: Eukaryota; Fungi; Basidiomycota; Agaricomycetes; Polyporales; Fomitopsidaceae. The record is from the annotation of a RefSeq genome assembly.
GCCCGCUUAGCUUAAUCGGAUAGAGCGUCAGACUCUUAUGCAUGGACAGAGCAUAUCCCGACCGUAGGCAAUGCAAUCUGAAGGCUGCGAGUUUGACCCUCGCGGUGGGCU